AAGAUUUAAAUAAAAAACGCCAACAGUUUAUUGUGUUGACAAUGUCAAUUUUAAUGACUGAAAUGAUGAUUGAUUAAAACACGAUGAUUUCAAAGUCUACUCGAAAUACAAAACACUCCACGAUUUUAGAUAAGGCAUUUUGAAUAUAGGCCCUCGAUAUGUACGUUUUGUUGUUUAAUUUUCAAAAU
Long non-coding RNA from Bradysia coprophila, 188 nucleotides. Lineage: Eukaryota; Metazoa; Arthropoda; Insecta; Diptera; Sciaridae. The record is from RefSeq and is a predicted model, not a curated record.